Molecule: ribosomal RNA, 444 nt
Filed under: uncultured bacterium
Lineage: Bacteria
Description: partial 16S ribosomal RNA
Rfam family: Bacterial small subunit ribosomal RNA
Source: RNAcentral
CUACGGGGUGCUCCAGUGGGGAAUAUUGCACAAUGGGCGAAAGCCUGAUGCAGCAACGCCGCGUGAGGGACGACGGCCUUCGGGUCGUAAACCUCUUUUAGCAGGGAAGAAGCGAAAGUGACGGUACCUGCAGAAAAAGCACCGGCUAACUACGUGCCAGCGGCCGCGGUAAUACGUAGGGUGCAAGCGUUGUCCGGAAUUAUUGGGCGUAAAGAGCUCGUAGGCGGUUUGUCGCGUCUGCUGUGAAAAUCCGAGGCUCAACCUCGGACCUGCAGUGGGUACGGGCAAACUAGAGUGCGGUAGGGGAGAUUGGAAUUCCUGGUGUAGCGGUGGAAUGCGCAGAUAUCAGGAGGAACACCAAUGGCGAAGGCAGAUCUCUGGGCCGUAACUGACGCUGAGGAGCGAAAGCGUGGGGAGCGAACAGGAUUAGAUACCCUAGUAGUC